CUGUACGAGCGUGGCUAAACCGUAUACAAACGAUUUUAUAUUCUGGAAUCUAUAUCUAAUGUCAAAUAUCGCGAGUUUCAUGGAAUGUCAACGGUAUUUGCGAGUAAGAGAAAUCAUGAAUUAUGGAAGAUCCACCAACUAUCGCUUUGAAACAGAUUUUUUCAUGUUCAAUUCUCCAUUAAUUUUCUCACGCGAAUCGAUUAUAGACGUCGAUCGAUUUAAUCAUUGGCCCAAUCAAUAGGCUAUUGUAAUCGUGAGUGGGAAAUAAUCGACGACCCGUAGGAAACUUAACACCGUUUCUUCCUGCUGGGACUCCGCAGGAGACGCGUCGUAAAAUUGAUAGAUCACGAAGAUACAACGCGCGCUGCGUUACCGCGCAGCAAUUCAUGUAUAGCUGGACACCGUACUGCAGCAGCUGACGAAGUGACUGUACGAGGCUGCAUAACGGAAACGACGCCGUCACGGAACAGCCUCUGUGGUGGCCUUUGAGAACGGAAACCCGCGAUCCGAGGAAACAUUGCGCAGCGUCACGUACCACAUCAUGGAGGCGAUUUUGAUCAAUUUUUUUGCCCAGCAGAGAAUUUAUCCGGCAUAUUUCAUUAUUUCUUGCUCCAGCAACAUUUUCAACUUCCCGUCGUGUCUCGUUUGGCUCACUUUACUUCUCGCAUUAUCAGCAACAUCAAGCAAGAAAAAACGUUGGCACUUGUAAAGAUUCGACGUUCAAUUUACCACACAAAAGUAAAGACGAUACGAUUUAGAUUCGAUAUCAGAAUAUUGUUAGAAACUUGCUCCACGAUUAGCACCGUUGUCGACGAGAAGAUGUUUCCCCUUUGCGAACAGGUUUCCGCUUAUAGCUACCGAUUCAACGCAUUCGGAUCCUCGAAAUUACUAUACACACGAAGAACCACUUGCAACCACUUUUAGGCAGGAAAUGCGUCGAGUGUCGGUCGCAGACUACUGAAACCUUCGGAUGCCACUCGAGGCCACGUAUGCGUGUAUACGUGUGCGAUGCUUAGACCUAUACACAUCGUGUUAUAACGAUAUUCAUGGAAACCUUCCUGCUAGCCAGAAUUUAUUCCACGAUAAAGGUCUACCAGUCGCGCACACUUGUUGAUCGAAGGAAGUAGUCACGUGCACGCACUCUGUUAUAAUCGUAGGGACGAACACAGACCGAUGAUUUUGAGGCACGCACUCUGGUUUCCACGCACGUUUUUAAAAAACACCUGGAUAGGAGCGUUAGGUUUUUAAGUACGUUCAAGCGGAAGUUAAUUCCUUUGUGAUCGUGUUUCGAUGUUGUCAAUGUUGUUUCACUUUUAUGAUUUUACUUCUGCAGCAUAUAUGUAGAAAUUACA
Long non-coding RNA from Hylaeus anthracinus, 1352 nucleotides. RefSeq lists it as uncharacterized. The transcript is spliced from 4 exons. Lineage: Eukaryota; Metazoa; Arthropoda; Insecta; Hymenoptera; Colletidae. The record is from RefSeq and is a predicted model, not a curated record.